This 492-nucleotide ribosomal RNA is filed under the name uncultured bacterium. RNAcentral's name for it is "partial 16S ribosomal RNA". It matches the Rfam family "Bacterial small subunit ribosomal RNA", at positions 28 to 507 of the family's 1533-position model. The record is from RNAcentral.
GAUGAACGCUGGCGGCGUGCCUAACACAUGCAAGUCGAGCGGAAGGACAGUGAGAUUGUUCUCCUACCGGUUGCGACUGGCGGGCGUGUAACGCAUGUAUCGGCUUCUACUUUUUCGUGGAUCAUAACGGAAGACAGGUUCCACUACUAGUGCAUAUGUUCUACCGCGGAGAUCAAUAGUGCUUCACGCCUUUCCCGUUUGUUUUAGCCGAUGCCGCGUUAGCUAGUUGGGUAGGUAAAGUCCUACCAAGGCGACGAUACGUAGCUGGACUGAGAGGAUGAUCAGCCACACUGGAACUGAGACACGGUCCAGACUCCUACGGGAGGCAGCAGUGGGGAAUCUUGGACAAUGGGCGAAAGCCUGAUCCAGCAAUGCCGCGUGGGUGAAGAAGGCCUUCGGGUUGUAAAGCUCUUUUAUUAGGAAAGAAAAGCUGUGGAUGUAUCCACCGCUGUCUUGACGGUACCUAAUGAGUAAGCACCGGCUAACUACGUG